Molecule: long non-coding RNA, 373 nt
Filed under: Salmo salar (Atlantic salmon)
Lineage: Eukaryota; Metazoa; Chordata; Actinopteri; Salmoniformes; Salmonidae
Description: lncRNA (ENSSSAG00000101575.1)
Source: RNAcentral
GCCUCAACAGGUAAUUACUAUAUACAACCAACAGUGCCAUUUUUAAGUUAAAAAAAGGUAUUAGGUGAACAAUAGUAAGGAAAUAAAAAACAACAGUAGAGAGGCCCUAUAUACAGACAGGGCACCGAGGCCCUAGACAGGAAACCGAGGCCCUAGACAGGAAACCGAGGCCCUAUAGACAGGGCACCGAGGCCCUAGAGACAGGGCACCGAGGCCCUAUAGACAGGGCACCGAGGCCCUAUAGACAGGGCACCGAGGCCCUAGACAGGGCACCGAGGCCAUAGACAGGGCACCGAGGCCAUAGACAGGAAACCGAGGCCAUAGACAGGAAACCGAGGCCAUAGACAGGAAACCGAGUCCAUAGACAGGAAAC